GUGAUUGAACCGGAGUUUUCCGUCUAUCCACAGAACGAGUUCUGUGCCUCCGGCUGCAGUGCAGGCCUGCCCACAGUACCCUGCCAGCGUGUUUACACCCUGACCUGGAAGGACCAGCUAAGGGUGAGAAAGCAAUUCGCUCUCCGUGUCCAUCUCAUGCCUGUUUGGUU
This is an unclassified non-coding RNA of Bos indicus x Bos taurus (hybrid cattle), 170 nucleotides long. NCBI's taxonomy places the organism in Eukaryota, Metazoa, Chordata, Mammalia, Artiodactyla, Bovidae. The record is from Ensembl.